This is a long non-coding RNA of Heterocephalus glaber (naked mole-rat), 6349 nucleotides long. Lineage: Eukaryota; Metazoa; Chordata; Mammalia; Rodentia; Bathyergidae. The record is from Ensembl.
CAAAAAGUAUCAGAGCAGUUCAGAGAAGGAGAGGUCCCAGAGAGGGCAUCCAGGAAGCUCUUGAAGAGGAGGGUCUGACCCUCGGACCAGAGAGGGCAGAGUCGCAAAGUCCUCAAGAAUUGGGGCAGGGGUUGACCAGUCAUGGCUCAAGGUUAAAUGCAGUCUCUUCCUGUUUCUGCAAACAGGUUCUGCUGGAUCGCAGCAACAGCCAUGGGUGAAUGAGCCACCUUGGCUGCUCCUGUGCUGCACAGACAGAACCGAGGGGCUACCAUAGGGGCAGCGAGGCCUGCAAAGCCUGAAACAGUUACACCUUGGUCCUUUGUAGUGAAAGCUGGCUGAUCCCUGCUCUAGUGCUCAGGGCUUCCCUAAGGAGUGAUUUGAGGGAUUCCAGUGCAGUGAGACUGCUUCACAAAACAUCAUAGCCUCCCUAACGGGCUUGGGAGACAUGCCUAACAUUCCCACCUUCAGAGGCGUUUAUGAUGUUCCUUCGGAGGUGGAAGGCUCUGAGAAAUCUGCAUAGCUUAAGGCGUUUGCUGUUUACCUUAGCAUUCCCCAAACUAGUUAGAUCUAUCAAACCUGCUUUGCCCAUGAACACCCCUUAACAUCCUGAGAGGCUGGUGUUCCGUGGACGCCUCUGGUAAACAGCGGUUGGGUGGAGCUAACGGCCGAGUUCUUAGCCCAGCCCUGUCAAUAAGCUAAGUGGCCUUGGCUGAAUUGCAUGCCCACCGGGGCCUGCUCACCUUCCUGUUGGCACGGGAUAAGGAAGUCUGUCCUGCCUGGUCUGAGGGUUUUCCAGGCAAGUCCCUGAGAGAGUUUAGUGGGCACAAAAAGAGUCUGGAGAGAGGACUGUGGUAUCGGGGGUGUAGUAAUUAGUUUUGCUUCGACACACUGCUUAGCAGUGGUGGAGUGGGGACGCACCAGACCGAGGUCACGAUUUCUUGCCUCUAGUCCUCACUCUGCUGUCAACAGCUGGGUUAAGUCAAUGAUGUUAGUUCUGGGAGAGCGCUGUGCUGUAGAUCGCGCUGGCCAGGCCCAACUUGCCUCCUCCUGUGGAUGAGGCAGGGUCCCUCAGGAGGAGAACAGGUGACAAGAGGGCGUGGUGGAACAAGGCCUGGCUGAGGAGAGGAUGCAUCUUCCUCCCGUCCAUUCCCCAGAAAACCCUCAAGCAUGACGUCCUGCAGACCUUAGCUACUCUCCGGGCUCCGGUUACAGGGUUACAGACCAGCCCCUUUGCCUUCCCCUGCACUUCUCUUAUCUCUACACUACAAAUAAAGGUGCUGCAGUUGCCUGGGGUCUUUUUCUCCCAUCAGGAGUUAGAGCCCUACCUGGCCCCAGCUUUGCUUCUCUUUGUUCUUUUGUAUCUCUUCGUCUUUGUCCUUUCUCAAUCUCCCACCACCUGGACUCCCACUCUGCAGACCCCUCCGCCACGCAGGCCCUGGUAUAGUCCCCUCAUUUCUGCCUGGGGGUUUUAGACUCAUUAGUCUCUAAGGAUCUCUCCGCUCUGAAAUUCUACCAUCCAUUUGGCUAGGUGCGUGCCACUUCCCACCCUGUCCCAAGCAACACGUGUCUCUCUCAAAGGCGGAGACUGCCUCUCUGGGGUUCUUGGUGGCGCCUCUGGGUUUAGAACCGGAAAUGGUGAAGGGCUACUCAAGGAUGUCAGAUGCUGCCGACAAUUCAGAGCGAGAGCUGGGCCUCCUGAAAAUGUUCUCCUGACAGUUCUUAACUUGGCAUUGGAAGCCUUCUCUCCCUUCUGCUUCCAUUGCUCCAAGAUUCCUCUGUCCAAACUCAGAGUCCUUGACAGCAUCUGGCAAGGGAAAAGAACAGAUGCGAUUCUGGAAAAGACAGUGAGGUCAAGGAUGGAGAGAAAGCUCCCUAGCAGACAUGAGGUGAUCUCUUCCAGUGUUCAGCAUUUGAGGCAUCCUGUCUCCUUUGGCUAUGAGGUCAAGAUGGUCACAUCUGCUUCUCCAGGUGGAGCUCCAACUCCAUUAGCUUCUCCCCAGAGCCGCCUUUGCCACAGGAGCAGAGCCACAAACAGAAACGGAGCCAGCAUGGCGGAGACUGGAGCCAGGGCCCAUGAGCCGCUUUCAUCUUCUGGAAAAGCACUGGAAGGAGCCAGGGCCGGAUGGGAAGAACACAGGAGAGGGAGGUUGGAGAUGGACAGGCUGAAGACCACUGCCCCCCAGCCCUCGCUUGUUUCACAGAUGCUGUCUCUCUGCGGGUGGUGUCCAAGGUCCAUGGACCUGCAGCCGGGGUUGCUCCUUCAGCGGAGACCAGCGCUUGUUGCUUAGAGACCAUAGUUGCUUCUGAGUCUGGGUAGAUCCUGAAGUCCAUCUAUCGGCUGCUGGCGAUGCCGUCCUGAAGGAUGCUGUGAGGAAUGCGUCAGCAGCUGCAGGGGCUGUAGGGAUGGUGCUGGAAGAACCUGUGGGAAUGCCAGAGGAGAGCACAGGGAGAGGCUACCCAGGCUGCCCAGUGGAUUUAGCAAAGGGCACUGGGUUUAAAAUGUUUGUUAAACAGGCCGCACCCUCACUAAGAGGUGCAGUGUUUGGCCGAUAUGUUGGGAUACAACAGCAAGGUAAGGAUCCUGGAUAUAUUCAGAAUUAUUCUCUCGUCUCCUAUAUUUUCCCAUCUCAUGGAUAUAUAUAGAUAUUCUCUCAUCUCAUGCAAAUACUGAUAUCUUAUACUCCUAUGGCCUUCUCCCAGGCCCACGUAGUCUCCAUCCCGCUGCCCCAGGUCCCCGUGCGUCUGCUUUCUCCAGAGGCCUCAGCCUAUCAGGGUCUCCUCUUGAGAGAAAGGAAGAGAAGCACUGCAGUUCCCAAACAGCAGCCAGCAGUGGCAGCAGGGACAGAAGCAUCCAAUAAAGCCCAACUGCUCUCCUAGCUGGCGGUCCUGAUGGACUGUGGCUUCCAAAGCCUGGUGUCCCUGCUUGUACUCUGGGUGCCUGCUCUGGACCAACCCUCCAGAACCUGUCCCCAGGGCCUGGGCCUAGGGGCUGCCUGCUGUCUGCAGAGGGGCCGAGGAAGGGUCUGUCAGGGAAGAGGUUGUCCCGGCUCUUUUCUGUCUGUCAGGCUGCUCUGCAGUGCUACCCCUGAUCUGUAUGCCACAAUAUGUUGCCCUCAGGACCCUAAGAUGCCAUAUGAUCCAAUUUACUACCUUCCUGGAACAAUCUCCAAAUAUAUAUUCCACAACAUCCAGGGUAUGGCCAUUCGGGUGGAGUGUCAACUUGAUUGGCUUUGGAAUCUUCCCAGGGAUCAGUGGAGCUCACAUCUGGGUGUGUCUGGGUGAUCAUGGAGGUGCGAUCUUGGAGUCUGAGUCUGGUCCCUCAUCCCUUCCUCUCUGGCACUGCUUCCCUGCUCUGCUUCCCAGUCACCACGAGCUAAGCAUUUUGGCCCUGCCGUGCCCUUCUGCCUUGAUGUUUCUGCCUUGGAGCUGGCUUGCCAUGGACUGAAUCCUCAGAAAUCAUGAGCCAAAUUAAACCUCUCCUCCUUUACGUUGUGAGUGCCAAGUAUUGUGCGCCAGCAACAGGAAGCUGACUGAUUAGCCGGUGUUGGGAGAGUUGGGUGGGGGAAUUUGGGUGCACUCAGUUGUUUUUUCCUAAUACCUCCCUUCUUUCUGGAAAUUGCCUCCCAUGAGGAAAGGCUGCCUCUUAGAGCCAUUGCCCUGGCCCAGCCUUUCAGCUCACUCCUCCAAGGCCUAAAGCUUUCCUGGCCCUGCAAACUUUCUCUUGCCACCACUGCUUCCUAGCUUGAGCUUCUCCAAGCACAGCCCAUUGGCCAUCAGCUCUCACCUGCAGAGACAGUCAGAUUCACGCUGGAGAACAGCCUGUUGUUGCUGUCCCCAAUGCCGCAGCGGUAGUGUCCCCCGUCUUCCAUGGACAGUUGGGACAGCCUCACCACAAACAAGCUGCUCUGUGGGAAGUCUGCUAGAGCUGCACGGCCACGGUAGUCACGGUGGGUGUAGUGGUUGGUGGACACGAUAGUGUGGCAGGUCCACAUUGGAGGCCCCACGCGGCACCAGUACUUCCUCUGGUGCCUGUUGAUGGACAGGGGGGCGUAAUGGCACUGGAUGGUCACAGCUCCUCCAAGCUCUCCAGACACCAGCCUUGGGCUGUUCAGUGUACUUGCAGCUGCAAAUGGAGAGAACAGCUGACGGCGACAGAGGGGUGGGUGUCCUCACCAUUGGGGAGUUACAAGGCAAACUCUGCUAGCUCUAAGGGUCAGGACAGAAGACAGGACUGUGAAAGUGGAGUAGAAUUAACAUAGAAAUGGCAGAGCUGAGGCGUGGAGGAAGCAGGAGCUGCCCCAAGAUACGGACUGGAGCAGGGUGCAAGGCUCCAUGUACAACAUGAAAACGCAGUGAGAAUCUUGCCCACUUUUUUCCCCCAGCACUGAGAUUGAACCCAGGGCCCUGCGUCAAGAGCACUCUCCCACUCUACACCCUCCCCCAUUUCGCUGAAGCAUAAUUUUGAGUGGGGUUUUCCUAACACAAAGUUUGUUUUUGCUCACAAACCCGUGAUCCUCUAGCCUCAGCUUCUCGAUUAGCUGGGCUUUCCGGUGUGUGCCACCACCCCUCAUCCCCACACACUACAUUGCUAAUACUUAUCGUGUGCAGAUCAUGGGUUGAUCCCACUGUGCGUCAGUGCAGAUGCCAUCGUCGCUCCCAUGAGAGGGCGGAAGCAACCUCUGGUUUGCAUGGCAUUUAAAAGACAGAUGCUGAGCGAGGUGAACAUGUCAGUGUGCUUUUCCUCCGAACCAAAGAAUCCUGCUCUGCCUGCCUGAUCUAGGAUGUAUAUACCCCUAGACCAGUAGCUGCAAAGUUUUUCACACUGACCACUUUUCUAGAGACAUGGAAACAACCGAGGCAGAUGGACACCUGCUUUGGCAACAGCCCCAAAGACAACUCACACUGGAGCCGCAGAGCGUGGUCAGCUUACAGAAUGACUGCAGUCUGCUAUAGUGCAAACCGAAAAAAGCUCAUUCUCUUUCCCACUGCCUCUUCACAACUUUGUCUGCUCCUCGGAGAAAUCACAGGUGCAGUCUCAUGUCUAGUAGCUUUUACUGUCUGUCCUAGAUAGGAAAGUCCAGUCUAGUAUAAAAUUAUACACCUGGCUCAGUCAGAGGAGAGUGCACUGCAGUCGCUCACUCAGUGGGGCCUUUCUUCUUUUGGCGGCCACCUGGGGAAGGAGUGGCAGGUUGGGUCCUGUGCUGUACUUUCCCCUCCUCUACUCAAAGCUGCAGUUUGGGGCCCCUCCAGGACCGGGCACGGAGAAGAGCAAGGAGGUAAAUAGAUAGUUAUAAUCUGCCCUUGGUGUUCUCUGGCAUGGCCAAGAUGUCCUCUUUCUGGGCCCCAAAGGCUUUCUUGGUGGCUUCUAGCCCACUGGCCCUCUGUUAGUGGUCACGAUCCCCUCUGGGUGCCCAUGAGGUGGAGGCCCCACAUGUGGCCACAGGUGCCACACCCUUAUCCUGCUAUUAGAAGAAACCUGGGACACAUGACAAACUUGGGUGGUUCUCUAGAAGCUCCUUCUCUUAUUUGGCCUAAUGUGAGAGGGAGUGAUCCCUCUGGGCCCCAGGGCAGGAGGAAGGGGACCGAACAGCUGAUAGCUCCCCCUCCAGUGGUCUCAUGGGAGCUCUCUGCCUCUAAGGAGCCAUAUGUAAUGGCCCAGGUGGCUGCACGAUGGGCCAGCACUGGGACUAGCUUUACAGUCUCAGUCUGCAGUCCUACAAAUUGGUUCCCCAUCUUGCUUUAGGGUGUGGGUGCCUCAUGAUUGGCUCUUGGCCCCUAGCUCUCUGUACCCAAGAAUGUUCUGUUUAACACCGCAUUGCUGGGCUGCUAAUUUGUGAGUCUCGGUGCAAGAUCUGCAAAUGACAAGUACAAGUGAAAAUGGGAGACUCCUUGUCCAAAGUUUCUGAAGAAUUUUAUGCAGCCUCACCAGAGAAUGAGUCAAGCACUGUUGGAGAGCAGCACCUUGUGUGAUCUGUGCAUUCUGUGUGUCCUGAGGUCUAAUGACAGGAAAAUUAAGGUCGGGCAUGCUAUGGGUGUAUGCAUGCUCACUCUAGAUUUAAUUAAACAGCAUCCCCCAAUCCACGCAACUGAUAAUCAAGUUGAACAGUGAUGUAUUAAUAAAGGGUAAGAAUGUUUACUAUCACAAUGGGCCAUCUGAAGGCAGCAGCGGUGACGCCCCAAUAAAAUGCUUAUAGCCAGGUUUUAGGAGUCCCUGCGCUGUACAUAUGUCACAUGUCAGAUGAGUACAGAUUCAUUGAUCUCCAGCACUAGGCAGUCUGACUUCACAGUAGAAAGAUGGCUAAGAAUUCUUCUUGCAAUGCAUAUCAUUUUUAUUAACAUCAAAGUUAAC